UACGAAGGGGGCUAGCGUUGUUCGGAAUUACUGGGCGUAAAGCGCACGUAGGCGGAUAUUUAAGUCAGGGGUGAAAUCCCAGAGCUCAACUCUGGAACUGCCUUUGAUACUGGGUAUCUGGAGUAUGGAAGAGGUGAGUGGAAUUCCGAGUGUAGAGGUGAAAUUCGUAGAUAUUCGGAGGAACACCAGUGGCGAAGGCGGCUCACUGGUCCAUUACUGACGCUGAGGUGCGAAAGCGUGGGGAGCAAACAGGG
Molecule: ribosomal RNA, 254 nt
Filed under: uncultured bacterium
Lineage: Bacteria
Description: partial 16S ribosomal RNA
Rfam family: Bacterial small subunit ribosomal RNA
Source: RNAcentral